RNAcentral lists this ribosomal RNA (845 nucleotides) under uncultured archaeon. RNAcentral describes it as "bacterial SSU rRNA". It matches the Rfam family "Archaeal small subunit ribosomal RNA", at positions 68 to 899 of the family's 1478-position model. The record is from RNAcentral.
UCGGCGCGAUUCGCCUUACGGCUCAGUAACACGUGGCUAAUCUGCCCUUGGGACCGGAACACCCCCGGGAAACUGGGGCUAAUUCUCGAUAGGUGAAGAACUCUGGAAUGAGUCUUUGCCAAAAAGACGUUUACGUUAUGCUCGUAGACGUCGCCCAAGGAUGAGGCCGCGACCGAUCAGGUUGUUGGUGAGGUAAUGGCUCACCAAGCCUUUUACCGGUGCGGGCCGUGAGAGCGGGAGCCCGGAGAUGGGCACUGAGACAAGGGCCCAGGCCCUACGGGGCGCAGCAGUCGCGAAAACUUUGCAAUACACGAAAGUGUGACAGGGCUAUCCCGAGUGCCAUCCGCUGAGGAAGGCUUUUACCCAGUCUAGAACGCUGGGGGAAUAAGGAGAGGGCAAGUCUGGUGUCAGCCGCCGCGGUAAUACCAGCUCUCCGAGUGGUGUGGAUGUUUAUUGGGCCUAAAGCAUCCGUAGCUGGCUGAGUUAGUCCCUUGUUAAAUCCACCGAAUUAAUCGUUGGAUUGCGGGGGAUACUGCUCGGCUAGGGGACGAGAGAGGCAGACGGUAUUUCUGGGGUAGGGGUGAAAUCCUAUAAUCCCAGGAGGACCACCAGUGGCGAAGGCUGUCUGCUAGAACGCGCCCGACGGUGAGGGAUGAAAGCUGGGGGAGCGAACCGGAUUAGAUACCCGGGUAGUCCCAGCUGUAAACGAUGCAGACUAGGUGUUGGGACGGCCACGUGCCGUUCUAGUGCCGCAGGAAGCUGUUAAGUCUGCCGCCUGGGGAGUACGAUCGCAGAUGAAACUUAAGGAUUGGCCGGGGGGCACAGGGCGAAUCGUUUAACUUGCA